GAUUAAGAAAAUGCUUGAUAAACACACUUUGACAACACAUUUUAAAAAUACAAGAUGCACAAAAAAUCAGGCAUUACAUAAUGAGUGAAUAGAAACCUUAUAUAACGGAGUCAUCAAUUUCUAAGAAAUGGAGAGGACUCCACUCAUCUAAUAUAACUCCAGAAUAUGCUGAGUAAAGUAAUAUUAUUGGGAAUUUUUUAUGAUGUUAUUUCCUUUGAUAUAUGGGACUGUGUUUAGUUUACUGUUUAUAAUAAUACUAGAAACCUGGAAGGAAAAAAAAAAAAAAAACAUUUUCCAUCUCCAAGAAGGGAAAAGUGGCAAAAAUCAUUAGGAAGUCAUGUGUUUUGAUUGUAUUACACCUUGCAUGUGUGUGGGUUCCUCAUACCAAUUAAGCUUCUGUAUAUUGCAGUCUAGAGUCUAGACACAGAGUGUUAAAAGGCCAAAACUCCCAAAUAUGGAGAUCUAUGGUGGGGUUCUCAUUAAUUUAAUGGAAACGCUUUUGUUAAUUUUGAUAUAAUGGUAUGGUAUGCAUGUACUCUAGUCAAAAGAAAUUGAGUAGUACUACGUAUACUGCACAGGGGGUGGUGUAAGGGUGGCCUAUAUUGCAAGUGCAUCAUUCAUAUGGGAUGCAGCCUGCAGCUGGCUGUAAAAGACCAGGCUGGUUAAAUUAAGGUCUGCACGCUGGACUAUCUUUUCUUUGUAGUGUCUCUCUAUAUAUAGAUCUUUUCAAUCUCUACCAUACAUGUGGAAAAAUCAUCAUACACCUGUUCUUUGAACCAAUGGGUAAAUGAAUUAUCAUUUUAAUGAAACUGUUUGAUUUACCAAAAGCCGCAACCAAAUAGCAU
RNAcentral lists this long non-coding RNA (845 nucleotides) under Medicago truncatula (barrel medic). RNAcentral's name for it is "long non-coding RNA (MTRU_LNC002628)". Lineage: Eukaryota; Viridiplantae; Streptophyta; Magnoliopsida; Fabales; Fabaceae. The record is from RNAcentral.